Molecule: non-coding RNA, 3282 nt
Organism: Sus scrofa (pig)
Lineage: Eukaryota; Metazoa; Chordata; Mammalia; Artiodactyla; Suidae
Source: RefSeq, a predicted model, not a curated record
CAACCCACUGAGCGAGGCCAGGGAUCGAACCCGCAACCUCAUGGUUCCUAGUCGGAUUCGUUAACCACUGCGCCACGACGGGAAAUCCGCCAGAGGUUUUCAAAGUCCCCUCUGGACAUUUAUUCCCCAGGUCUUCCUUUCACGGCCACAGGAUUUCGCUGUGGUCCCAAGGCUGCUGUAUAAUUUUUUCCAUUUUAUUUUCUAACAGCGAUUAGCGUUGGUGUGUAAGACACAGGAAUGUCAACGUUUCUCGACUGGCCCUUUACUCCGCGUCCCAUGCUGAACAUAAGCAGCGUGCUGCUGAGAGGCUCUAACAGGGAGGCGGACCCUGGGUGGGGGGUUACUUGAGACCCCGAGAAAAGCAGCUUGGUGCUGCAGCGCAGGGGUGGGUGUCAGCCAGGCGGGCAUUGAAGGAGAGGUGGGAGGCACUGGGAUGGGAAGGAGGGUGGGGCCGGAGGAAGCAUCCAGGAGGCGGCGGCAUUGGCAGGAGGAAGCCUGGCCUCAGAGCCACGGUUGGUCAGUCCUUGGUUUGUAUUCUCAGAACAAUGGAACUCCUGCAGCACGCGGAGGGGUCAGGGCUGUGCUUCCAAAGGCCGCGCCAAGGACGCCAGGUGACGCUGGGCUCCAGGCUCCGCUCAGAGGCGUCAAGACAGACAGACAGUUAUCUUUCGGAUGAGCUGUUUUAGAAACUGAGAGUCUGCGGGAGCAAUGAGGGUCGAACCGGCCGUAACAUCAAUGACCGGAUGCAGUUCUUUUGAAAACCCAAGAAUUCACGAACAGCAAAUACAAAUACUUCCCCGUGUCUACUUUUCAGAGCAUCUCUAAACAUUUCACUUCAAAAGACAAAGAACACAGGUGAGCGAACAUAAAAGUUUUAUUGAAUAAAUACAUGCAUUGUCAUGGAAAAUUAGUUGGGCAGAAAGGACCUCCUACAACCCCACCGACAAAAAACCCUCUGCCGCGUUCCGUCUGCAGCGGGGGGACCAGCGAGACUGGAGUUAAAGCAACAACCACAGGAUAAACACACACAGGCGGAUGUGCAUUUGGCUUAGGUUUUGGCAAAGGAGGGCCAACCUCCUGAUGAGGAGCAUCUGUACGGAGUAGACUGUGGCGAGUACAGCUCAGAGGCCUCUUCCGUUUUCACCUGAAGCAAUACCUCAUUCCUCCUACUUUAAGGCACAGGAUGAGCCACAAAGUGACAGAAUUCAAAUUCCUGAAUGUUAAUCAUCCCUCCAUGGGUUUGGUUCCAUGUAGAAAAGUUCAAGUUCCCUUUUCCUAGAAGAACUGACUAUUAAGCACUGGUGAUGAAGGCCUGGGGAACAGAGGGGGGCGCGGGGUCUGGCCUCGGGGUGAGGCUCAGCUGUCCCCCAGGACAGAGGUUCCCUCUGAAGGCCCAUCGGCCAUGCAGACAGACUCCUACCUGGGACGGGUUCUGGGCCCUUCCAACCAUCCCCUUGCUUCCCUUCUUUCCUUUUAGAGAGAAGGGAGCUGGCUGCUGGGUCUGGGUCCAGCCCCCGCCGUCCACAGAGGGUGGGUGCCGUGCUGCGAACGGGCUUGGUUUGGUUUCUAUCAUCUUGCCUAAUGGCUUAAAUAAAGCAUUCUCUCCAGGAAAGCCCGACUGAACAGGCGACACGUGUGCCACAAAACCUCUAAGGUGGGGAUGCUGGCAGAAAUCACUGGUCUCAUAAAUUUCAACAAGUGUUUCUCUCCUUUUAGAAGGUGUGCCAGAAGCCCGUCAACAAACCUAACUUUUAAAAAAUCCCCAGUACAUCGAAUGCCAUGGGCAGGCAAGCAGAGGUCGUAAUCACCUGCCUCUUACUACCGAGAGGGCAGGGUGAGGCAUUCGAGAGCAGCGCCCGGCGGCCCGCACGUCCACCGGCUUCCUCGGCGCCGACAGAGGAGGGAAAGGGGUCUCGCUGAGGCUGCAGAGGGCCCUGGUCUUCAGGAUCACAGCUGAGACCCCACCGCACACGGACCCACGGCUCAAAGUGUAAACAGAAACAGAGCUGCAGGCGGCCGGAGAGCAGGAGGUGCCGGGGCAGCGACGGCAGCCACGCAGGCCCUUGGCGGGUCUGGUCACGCAGGGGUCGGGUCCGCGAGGGCACUCAGGGUGAGAUGGCCGGCCUCGCUCUCAAAGCCGGAUUUCCUCCAAUAUUUAUACCCCAUUUUGGGGUGCAUCACACACCCAGAGCCCUUAAAGCUCUCUCUGCACCUCCACCCUGCGCUCAGCGCUCGGCUCCGACCAGGCUGCAGAGCCUCACCUCCCGAGAAGCUUGGGCUCUGCAGGGAAGACGUGCUUUCCGUGAUCUAAGAAAACUCUUAUUUCCAAAUAAAAGCUGUCUAACAAUAUGCCAGUACUGAGGUCGGUCAUUGCAUAAAGUGAGGAAACCCAGGAAGUGGUUACACACCAGGAAACCCCUGGGUCGCAGGGGUGUCCAGCGCCGGCUUGGGGACCUCUCUGUCCCACGUGUGAUGUCACCCAGACAGAUACAUGGGCCGGCCACCACCACCUCCUAUCUACACCCCCUGACCCGUCUCAUAGUCUCUGUGGAGACAUGAAUUCACCUUUCUUUCUAGGCUGAGAAAACACCGAAAAGGCUGGGAAACUAGAGCCUGACGGCAAAUAUCAAAAAUCUGUCUGUAUUAUAUUUCAGGGAAAGCAGGACUGAGUAUCUGCACUGUGUCAGGGAUAAGCUGUAACGAGCGACUGAAACAAAAGACAUUCCAUUUUCUGUAAGAGAUUUCAGGUCGGCACACUAUGAUUUCUGAGCCAGGGCAAUGCUCUUCAUAUUUUAUAUUUUUACUCAGUUAUACAUUUUUUCUUACGAGCCACUUCCAUGGCCUUCUCAAUAAUAUAUCUUUAUAUGUAUGAAAGUGUACAGGUGGAUACAUUCUCUCAUCAUUCAUCGUGGGCGGAGUAUACUAACAUUUACCACUCUUUCAGCUUCUCUUUUGAAAAAGAAACCACAAAAUAGGUCACUGAGAACGUUUUCCGGCAAAGACAAAAAUGAUGUUUGUCUUAAGAAUCGAAGUUUUCGAAGAAAAAUAUAUAUAUAUUUCCUUGAUCCAUUUUCUUCCGAAUUCAAACUGGCAUGGAGAGAUUAUAAAAAAGAGUCUAUUUGCACCGCGCGGUGAUGUACAAAACAAGGCAGUAAGAAAGCACAGCCAGACGUCGGCUCUGGCGGGGCGGCUGGCACGCAGCCCUGCAGGCACAGCGCCCACCUCUCUCCUCCACACGCGGGGGUGACCGGGAGACACCAGAGGAAAGGAAACAUACAAAAC